UAUAUACGUUAAUAACUGUAUAAACUGAUAACAAGUGUCUAUAUGACAAUAUAACUCACUGUAUAUAUAAAUGUAUAUAUGAACUUAUCAAUGCAUAAGGGUGCAUAUGCGUGCGCAUAUUAGGGCAUAUAUAACUGAUAGUAAGUAUAUAUACAUUAAUGUACAAGACCAUAUAUAUACUUAUAACCAGCUUGUAUAGUUUUUAACGUACAUGCAUACUGAUUUACAUACAACACACACACACAUAUAUAUACUAUAUACAUAUAUGUGUUGUGUAUGGACUGAUGUGUGUAUAUAUAAGAUAGGUUUAUGCUUGUAUGCAUACACUUGUUUGAUAUACAUUGUAUAUACACACUAAUAUGUGUACAUAGAUGCACCCUUACGCAUUGAUAAAUGUAUAUAUACUGUAUAUGUCUGUAUCUAUACACUAACACAUGCAUUCUAUAUGUACUGAUAUAUAUCACUAUGUAGAUACUUAUUAGCAAUUUACAAUAUAUAUACAAUGUUUAUAUAUACGAUAUGCAUAUACUGAUAUGUUUACGUACCUUGAUAUGGGAACACACAUGCACUCUUAUGUAUUGAAAAAUUCAUACGUAUAUUUCUAUAUACACUGAUAUAUAUGACUAUAUAGACACUUUUUAUCAGUUUAUACAGUUAUUAAAGUAUAUGUACACUCACUUAUUAUCAGUUUAUACAGUUAUUAAAGUAUAUGUACACUGAUAUGUAUAUACGCACACUCAAAUAUGUAUAAUGUGUUUACAUAUAUACUAAUAUAUAAGACCAUGUGCAUACUUAUUAUCAGUGAUAGAUACAGUUAUUAAAACAAUUUAUGUAUAUAAUGAUGUAUAACAAUAUAUACCAUAGUUUUAAGUGUAUACCAUAGUUUUAAGUGUAUAUAUAUAUAUUACUUAUAUAUUUAUUAGUGUGUAAAAAAUACAUUGAUAUGUGUAUGUGAUGUUUGUAUAUAUACGAUGUGUAUAUACUGAUAUGUGUGUAUGUGUAAAGUUUAUAACUGCAUAUAUACAGUGCACUAAUAUAUAUUUCUAUAUCCAUUGAUGUAACAUGAUCAUAUAACUACGUAUUAUCAAUUUAUACAGUUACUAGCGUACAUGUAUACUGCUUUAUAUACUACACAUACACGCACAUACAUAUAUGUUUAUAUAUAAAAACUAUACAUAUAUGCGUGUUGUGUAUAGACUAUUGUGCGUAUAUAUACGAUAUGAAUAUACUGAUAUGUUUAUACGUGUAAGCAUAAACUUGCUUGUUAUCAGUUAUAUACACUAAUCAAUGUUAUAUACACUGAUAUGUGCUGACACAUGCACGCUUACGAGUUGAUAAGUGCAUAUAUAACGUGUAUCUGUACAUUAAUAUCAUGUAUUCUAUAUACACUGAUAUAUAUAACCAUAGAGAAACUAAUUAACAAUUUCUAUAUAUAUAUAUAUACAGUGUGUAAUAUCUAAGAUAUAUAUAUACUGAUAUAUUUAUGUGUGUAUGUACAUACCAGCUAUUUCUUAUUAUAAAUGAUCUUAUACAUUAGUGUACAUAUAAACCAUUUAUAUAUAUGCAUAUGAGUGUGUAUACAAACAUAUCAACGCACAUACGUUAAUAACAGUAUAAACUGAUAAUGGUGUAUAUAGAAAUGUAUGUCAACGCCAUCAAUGUGUAAGGGUGUAGGUGCAUACACAUAUCAACGUAUAUAUAACUGCGAGCAAUUUUAUACAUAUA
Molecule: long non-coding RNA, 1725 nt
Filed under: Amborella trichopoda
Lineage: Eukaryota; Viridiplantae; Streptophyta; Magnoliopsida; Amborellales; Amborellaceae
Description: long non-coding RNA (ATRI_LNC001965)
Source: RNAcentral